This 351-nucleotide long non-coding RNA is filed under the name Gossypium barbadense (sea-island cotton). RNAcentral's name for it is "long non-coding RNA (GBAR_LNC021188)". The record is from RNAcentral. Lineage: Eukaryota; Viridiplantae; Streptophyta; Magnoliopsida; Malvales; Malvaceae.
CACCAAAAUUAGAUCAGCAGCUGGUAAAAACUCGACUUGAUGAGUGACAUAAAUCACUGUUUUUGAUCUCAAAUUGUUUAGUAAAACCUCCUGCCAUUCAAAAGAAUAAACAAGAUGCUCCGAGUUCAUACAUAACUAUUUCAAUUAAAUUAACGAUAGAAACUCUUAAAAUACAUGCCAUAUGAUCAUAGGAGGACAUUACCUUAAGUAAAUGAGAUCGGGUGUGAGCAUCCACCGUGCUGAAAGGAUCAUCAAACAGAUAGAUAUCGGCAUCAUGGUAUAGAGCACGAGCAAUCUGUAUUCUGUGCUUUUGUCCACCACUCAGAUUGAUUCCCCACUCGCCUAUAACUG